Molecule: transfer RNA, 135 nt
Filed under: Deltaproteobacteria bacterium
Lineage: Bacteria; Pseudomonadati; Myxococcota; Myxococcia
Description: tRNA-Ile
Rfam family: tRNA (bases 1-117)
About the family: Transfer RNA (tRNA) molecules are approximately 80 nucleotides in length. Their secondary structure includes four short double-helical elements and three loops (D, anti-codon, and T loops).
Source: RNAcentral
GGCUGCGUAGCUCAGUGGUUAGAGCGAGGGUCUCAUAAGCCUCUGGCAAACGGCGCUCUCGACAAAGGGAAAGCCCCGAUAACUCGGGGCUUUUCUGCAUUUCGACGCCCGCAUCCGGCUGAAUCGCCGCCGCCA